Non-coding RNA from Pteropus alecto (black flying fox), 119 nucleotides. The record is from Rfam. NCBI's taxonomy places the organism in Eukaryota, Metazoa, Chordata, Mammalia, Chiroptera, Pteropodidae.
AUCUAUGGCUAUGCUACCCUGAACAAGCUCAAUCCUGUCUGAUCUUGGAAGCUGAGCAGGGUUGGGCCUGGUUAGUACUUGGAUGGGAGACGACUUAGGAAGACCAGGUGCUGUAGGCA